GACGAACGCUGGCGGCGUGCUUAACACAUGCAAGUCGAACGGAAAGGCCCUGCUUUUGUGGGGUGCUCGAGUGGCGAACGGGUGAGUCACACGUGAGUACCCUGCCCUUGACUUUGGUAUAACUUCAGGAAACUGGGGCUAAUACCGGAUAGGAGCUCCUUCUGCAUGGUGGGGGUUGGAUAUUUUCGGCGGUUGGGGAUUGACUCGCGGCUUAUCUGCUUGUUGGUGGGGUAGUGGCUUACCAAGGCUUUGACGGGUAGCCGGCCUGAGAGGGUGACCGGCCACAUGGGGACUGAGAUACGGCCCAGACUCCUACGGGAGGAAGCAGUGGGGAAUAUUGCACAAUGGGCGGAAGCCUAAUGCAGCAACGCCGCGUGCGGGAUGACGGCCUUCGGGUUGUAAACCGCUUUCGCCUGUGACGAAGCGUGAGUGACGGUAAUGGGUAAAGAAGCACCGGCUAACUACGUG
RNAcentral lists this ribosomal RNA (468 nucleotides) under uncultured bacterium. RNAcentral describes it as "partial 16S ribosomal RNA". It matches the Rfam family "Bacterial small subunit ribosomal RNA", at positions 28 to 507 of the family's 1533-position model. The record is from RNAcentral.